UGAACAUUUACGACGUACUGCUGGGGAUGCCAUGAAUGCCGUCUAUAUUUCCUCCCUUUAAUUUCCCUUGUUUUAUUCGGCACUUCCAUACGGACUUCUUCUUCCUGCUCUUUCUGCGCCUCUCUCCCACCUUAACACCCUUUAAUCGGCCAUCAACCGUUCAAUCAGCUGUGAGCCCACUAAUAUACUUGCUUGAAUGUUGCCCUAACUAAAUUCCAAAAUCCCAUGCUCUCCCACCAUCCCUCUUAUCUCGCUUUUUUCCCAAAUUCCGUUCGACUUUCCUCAACCCCAGUCGUUGCCGUCCAUCUGUCCAUGUCUCCGCCACUAUGAGUCUGCCUGAGUGCCGCUAGCUCAUGUGACUUGUGAGCCCUUUUUUCUCUCUUUUUUUUCCUGAGGUUUUAGUAUAUUUUAUGGAUUAAUUGGUGAUUUACAGGUUGGUGAUUUGUGAUUUAUGUAUUAUUGUUUGGUGAUUUCCAUACUUAAUAUUGUAAUUUGUGAUUUGGGUUUAUGAUUUGCUAUUAGUGAUAAUUUGUGAAUUUGUGAUUUGAAAUUUUGAUAAUUGGGGUCAUUAAGAUCCUUCUCCCUAUCUCUAAAAAUGGCUACUGUAUAAGAACUACCAAUGUCCCUGUUGCUAUUGCUCUUGUCCUUAUCGACAUUCAAGUUCCUUGAAACUUCACUUUCAACUACAUUGAAACUAAUCACAACAGAAGCAACUUGAGCAAAUGCAUCUUCUGACUUGUAAAAAAUUGGACUACUGAAAAUACGAGCUUGUGUUGUGUCAUACUCCUCCUUUCUUUCUUCCAUAGUUCUAACUGGACUGCACUUAAGCCCCCAUUCCAUUGAUAAUUGUAAUUGUAGUUUUCUUUGUAAAAGCAUGGUAUUGAUGCAAUAAAACAUCAGUAGUUUCAGUUUAAUGAUGGUAGUUGUUUCUCAUUCCAUGUAAUAAAGCAUAAGUGGUUCUUUUUCUUUCCAUGUCUCUUUGUGACCAAAAAAAAAUUACAAAACCAAAUCAACUCUACAGAAAGAGCUAUCAUCUGCAUACAGAUGGAGAUAGGUUAGGCCAUGAGCAACAUCAAUGAAUAUUUCAAGUCUCUAUGGUGUCUGUUUGAAGUUGGCUCCAAACUUUAUCAAGCCAUGUAUACUCACAUAGAUCUCAAUGGAUUAUCCAUAUAGCCACAUCAAAUUUUUUUGGCGCCUAUCAUUUAAAUCUUUACCUUGAGCCCCCGUUUGGCCCCCAUUUUAGGAAAUGAAAAUUGAUGAAAUAGUGUUGUUUUGAAAAAUGAGUGGUUGAAAGAAAAAGAAAAGUUUUCGAUUUACGUGUAAUAUUAUUUUAUGAAAGAUUAUGUAGUUGAAAAUAGGAAAGAGAAAAAUGUAAUGUAAUUUAAUGGGGGCCAAACCGGAGCUUAGUUUCCCCAUUUUAAUACUUUACUCUCACCAUGUCCUUCCCACUCCAUAAAAUAUGAUAUCUAUUCAACCUGGAAUUCAUUUUUGGGCAUUUACAAACACUUACUGUCAGUUGUAUGCAUUUGUUUCGAACUAUGAUGACAUGUUAUGACAAUCAUAUGGCGAGGGUGGACUUACAAGUGUCUGACUAUUUAGUUAGCUCAUGAACGAGGGAAAUAUAUUGAUCGUGUGUAGCAAUGAUAGACGGCCUAUCUAAAUAAGACUACCAUGGUUGUCGGCCCCUUGAACUAUCAUGGAAGAUUUUUGUUUGUGACAUAAGUUAAAACGGAUAUAGUUGGACCAAUCAAUCUCACUGAUCAGCUAAAUCUUAACUACUAUGUUGAUUGCUAGAUGAAAAAGAAAAAAAAUGGAGAAUUGAGAACUACUGUGGUUGAUCUCCGCACCUGACGCCGGGUAGGAUAGUGAUUAUCCUAUUGGCUUGUUGUAGCAGAUGAUUCGCAAGAAAAGAACGACAGAAAACACCCAAAAAAAUCAGAGAAAAUACUCUGAAUUCAACUCAAUAUUAUUAAUAAUGCAGAAUGAUCAAAACUAACCCACAAGCCGGGUUAAAUAGCUGCGAAAUACGAAAUUAUGGGAAAAUUACCAAAAAUGGUAAAAUCCCAAAGUUAUACCAAAAUAAAAUAUUAAGUAAAAGAAGUAAGUUGCCAAAAAUUUGGCUCAAUUCGAGUUUUCUAACAUAUUGAAAAAAGGAAACGAAAUAUUACCAUAAAUAGUAAAAAAUAACUUAAAAUUGAAUUUUGGAAAGGAAAACAGUGAAUUUUGGGCUCGAAUUUGACGUCCACCGAGCAUAGCUCUAUGGCCACGACGUGCGCGCCGAAGAGAGCUUUCCGGAUUGGGGUCAUAAUAGCGAUUCCGAUAACCGUAACCAAAGUUAUGGCCAAAUUACCAAAAACGCGUCAAAUUCCCCCAAUUAAGGAAGUAAUGGUGAUUCACUUUCCAUCUUUGCGCCGAUCCGCCAUCUCAUGGUAUCUCAGCGCCAUCAUCGUGCUAUCUGACAAAUCAGCAUCACUCGACUCGGAUCCUCCUGCAUCAGUCGCCCCGGGUUGGAAAGAACUCGCUCUCGAGUUCACAGUAACUUCAUCGGACUCCAUAAAUCAAGGGUUUAGGUGUUUUACAUUAAAGACGUCAGAGGUCUUCAAAUGGCUCGGGAGGCACAAUCUGUAAGCAUUAUCAUUGAUCUUCUGCAGCACUUCACAAAGUUCAAUCUUCCGCUCCUUUAGCUUAUUGUAUUCCCCAACUGGAAAACGAUCACGAGUUAAUACUACCCAAACAAAAUCACGAACAUCAAAUAACACCUGGCGUCGAUGACUAUCUGCCUGAUCUUUGUACUUAAUAUUACUAUCCUGUAUGGACAGCUUCACCUGCUCAUGGAUACCUCGAAGAUGUUCAUCCAUCUCAUCAGCUUUGUUAUUGAAGCGACCCACACGUGGAAUUGGAGCCAAAUCAAGUACUCUGGAUGGGUUCCGACCAUAGACAAUUUCAAAAGGACUCAGUCCGGUGGUUCUAUUCGUCUACCGAUUAUAAGCAAACUCUGCUUGAGGUAAUGCCAAAUCCCACUGCUUCAGUUUAGUCCCGGCUAAGCUUCUCAAAAGAUUUUCCAAACUCCGAUUCACCACCUCAGUCUGACCAUCUAUUUGGGAAUGGUAUGCGCUGCUAAAAUUCAAUUUCGUUCCAAGUUUCUCCCACAAACUCCUCCAGAAAUGAUUCAUAAACUUAGUGUCACGAUCAGAAGUAAUUGACUGUGGAGCACUAUGUAAACGCACAAUCUCUCUGAAAUAAAGAUGAGCAAUCCGAGUAGCAUCCAUUGUCUUCCGGCAAGCCACAAAAUGGGCCAUCUUUGAAAAUCUGUCAACCACAACAAGAAUGGAAUCCAUCGCCCGCUUUGUACGAGGUAAGCCCAAGAUGGUCUUGUGGGACCGAUCCGGAAUCAAGAUGAUUUAUUUCUACUAGUACUCUUUUUUCAAUAUACCCGUUAUGUCCUACAUUAGGAUGUGAGUAUAAUAAUUUUGAAAGGUUUUAAUAGAAGUAAAUGGUUUAAAUACUUAAAUUGAGGGUUAUGAUAACUUGUCAAAUUCGUUGACGAGCGGACACUCCCCUAGAUAAAUAAUUUUAGCUACUUAUAUGCAAAUAAACUUAUAGUUUCUAGGCCUUAUCUUAAAAGGUGUUAUCCUUGCGAAGUGGAAGAACUAUUUAGGUACGUGAAGUUUUUCCCCUGUAUUUUCAUAAUUUAUGAACGCCUUCGCAAAAUUUUCGAUGUAACUAUAAUAAUAAUUAAGUAUAGUUAAUUUUUUAUCGACCCUAGCAGAUAGGAUUUAGAUAUGCUUCCAAAAACUGGUACGUUUACUUGCAACUACAGAAAUACUAAUGGAUAGAAGUAAAAGUGAAAAUUUUCUGAAAGAAUUAUUUAGGUAUGUCAAGUCUUUCCCUGUAUUUUCAACAUUUAUGAACCCAUUGACAAAAUGCUUUAUGUAACUAUGAUAAUUUUUGUAGUUAUUUUUUGUUGUCCGUAUCAGAUACUAUUUUGAUGAACUUCCUAAAAAAAUUUACUUGCAAUCAUAGAAAUACUAAAAGGUAAGAAGUAAAAAUGGAAAUUUUCUAUGAAAGUGAUAGUUAUCAAAUUCAACCCAGAUAUUGACUUCGCUAAGUUACAGUGACAUUGAAUCACGAGUUCAAUAAGUGGAUCCCUAGUCCAGUUGGGGGUCAAUGUAUAGAUAUGUUACGCAAACUGUUGUCAAAUGACCUUCUCGGACAAUGAUGUUAACUAGGUAACUUUCUCGACAACAUCAACUUAAUGACUAAACGACAAAUCGGUAUCAAAAUGAAAUUGACCCGACCCUAAUUUGUUUGGACCAUUUGAAGUAGCUUAAUUUAAUUAGUGUUACUCAUGACCUGUCUUUACUUAUUUGGACAUCUUAUAGACGAAACCUACUCAAAUGCCACUUAAAUCCUUAACUGGGCUUGAACCAUUGCUGUGACCUAAUUCUAACUAUUUAUUCUAGGGCGCCCCUUUCUUGUUCCAUACAGUUUCAGUCUCUCUCUGCCUCUCUACUCUCUGCAUGAGACCCUUGUAUUUCCCCUCAUGAUCUUUCUGUCCACCGUCAUUUUCACUGCUUUAUGGUCAUUCUUUGUGCAUCCUAAGUGGUAGAAGGGAAGCAACCUUAAGUGAAAAGGCAUUUUGAUGGUUUUGGGUUGAUUUUGAUUAAGGUGUCGAUUUGAGGAGGAACUGAGCCUAGUUCAAGCUUUGGCGGUCAUCAUCUUUCGCUCAACAAGAUAUUUAUAUUAAAAAAAAAAUCAAAAUUGUUUUUGAACUCUUUGAAUCAUUUGUUAUUUUUAAUUAUCUUAAUAGAAUGGAAGUAUGGCUUACAAUUCAAGAUAAUGAUGUUUUUCCUUUUCUUUUAUAAUUCUUUUUAUUUAAGUUCUUAUAGCUUGGAAACAUUAUUAAUUUAUUAUUCUCUUUUUGAUAUUAUAAAGAGAUUUCCUUUUAAUCAGAAAUCACUCCAAUGGAAUAUGUAAAUUACACACAAUCGUGUGUGUUUUAUUUUAUGAUUUUGUACUUAAUAAAUUUCUUAACACCCAUAUUAACUACUACAUGUGCAGGGAAAUUUUACAUGCUGAUUAACAGGUAGUGACAUGGCAGAAUUUCAUUGGUUGUAGGACAAAAGAAAAAGUUAAAUUAACCAAUGAAAUUUACCAUAUCACCACCUGGAAACCACCCUGUAAUAUUUCCAUGUGCUAGUAUUUUUUUAUUUAUUUAUAAUAUCGUUAUUACGUCCGCUUCUCAUGCAAAAAAAAUAUAUGCUAAUUGAGUAAUUGUUUGACAAUUGAAAAUUGACAUCUUUUGUACUUGAUAGUCAAUAUUAAUGCCCCAUUUGGUACAGCUAAAAAGUUAUUAAUUAAUUUGAACUACGCAUUUCAUUGGAUCCACAACUUUUUCAUCACAUAUUCUAUCAACUUUUAUCAAAAUAUGCUAAAAUAUAAUUUUAAUCUCUAUGAAACAAGGGCUAAAUUUUCACCUAAUGUGUUCUAAAAUAAAGUUAUUCACAUAUAGUUCUAUCAGGAUUAUAAUGUAAUGUUUGGUAUUUCAUUUAGUCAUCAUUGCUUAUAUUUUACGUCUUUCAAAUAAAUAUUGCAUUUUGUUAUUUAGGCAUGAGAAUAAGUGCCUUCAAACCUUCACGAAUCACGAUACUAUGAGUUGGGUUCUUGUAUAGAGAAGUGCAUGGAGAUAGUACUUGUAUAUUUGAUCAAUAAUUGUUUUGUCAAAGAUCGGUAAAUGAUUGAUAUUUUGUUCUAAUAAGGUCAUAGAAUCAGCUGCUCGACCAAUUUGAGUAUGAAAUUUGUCUUGACCAUGGUAGGCGGAUCUAGAGAAUAGUGGUACACUUGAAAGUAACUAGGAUAGAACCAAUGUGUAAAAUUUAAUUCUAUAGUGGAAUUGUGCUGAUAAUUGAACUUAAUAUGACCCGCUCAUGGAUUACCUAAAUAUGUAAUGGAAAAGUAUCUACUCUUCUUGAAGCCGAGGGUCAUCGUUGUAUACUACAAAAAAAAAAGGGGGGGGGGGGGGGGGGGCCCCCGCCCCANNNNNNNNNNNNNNNNNNNNNNNNNNNNNNNNNNNNNNNNNNNNNNNNNNNNNNNNNNNNNNNNNNNNNNNNNNNNNNNNNNNNNNNNNNNNNNNNNNNNNNNNNNNNNNNNNNNNNNNNNNNNNNNNNNNNNNNNNNNNNNNNNNNNNNNNNNNNNNNGGGCUCCACCGACCAAAGGCUUAGCGACUAAUAAAACAUGGUUGCUAUAAAACACUUUCCGCGACCAACUAAUGGUGGGUAUAGGUUAUAGUCAAGUAAAAUUGGACUAAUUUUAUUAUGUUCUAUUGUGACCAAAUAAUGGUAGCUGUUUCAGUGAAUUAGGGACCAUAAAUUUGAUUGGUUAGUAAAGGUAGUGCAGAAAAAGAACAAAAAAUUUUCCGCCUAUGAUACACACUCUAGCAACCACUGAAUGGUCUCUGAAUCCCAGUCUUCUGCAACCACUCAUAUCCUGGUUGCUAAAACAUUUGGUGCAAUUUUAUCCCGCUCUUUUUCUUUUGGUCUUUGCAUGUUUUAGCAACCGAAGGUGAUAUCCUGGUCACUAAAACAUUUGUCGCAAUUUUAUCCCCGCUCCUUUUCUUUUGGUCUUUGCAUGUUUUAGCGACCGAAAGCGAUGGUUGCUAAAUAUUACACCAUAACAGCAACCAUGGAAUGGUCCCUGAUACUAGUGUUCUGCAACCACUCAUAGCUUGGUCGCUAAAAUAGUUGGCACAAUUUUAUCCCGCUUUUUUUCAUUGGUUCUGGCAUUUGGUAGCGACUAAUAAUGAUGGUUGCAAAAUAUUGCACCCCUCCAAUGACCAAUGAAUGGUCCCCAAUCCCAGUCGUCCGCAACCACUCCUAUCUUGGUAGCUAAAAUAAUUGGCACAAUUUUAUCCCACUUUUUUCAUUGGUUUUGAAAUGGUCGUUGAGCCCAAAUCACUUCAAGCACUAAUGUUGUAGUCAUUAAAACAUUUGACACAAUUUAAUCUCGCUUUUUUCAUUGGUUUUGAAAUGGUAGCUAAGCCCAGAUCUCUUCAACCACCGAUGUGGCGAUGCUCUAGCCUAUAAGCUAGCAGGCCCACGUAGUGGAACCUUUUUCUAUUCGAAAUAGUUUUAAUAAAUAUUUUGAAUGAUUCCUUGUAAGUUGAAUCUUUGGUACUAGCUGGUCUAAAACAGAUUACGUAUGCAAAAGUUACGCAAAUUUCUUCGAACGUCGACCAUCCAACCGUUCCAUAUAUGCAACUGCCUAUUCCUCCACGCGAACCUCAUUACCAAUACUAAUUGUUGCUUUGUGGUGAAUCUUAUAGGGUUGGUUUUAUAGGUCACAACCCAUUGACCCCUGAUAAGUGUGUUUUUGCACAUUUAUUUAGGUCACAAACAUAACUUAAUUAUGAGUAAAAUGAUUAAAUUGUGACUUAAUUUCGUUACAUUUGUGAAUAGUAGGGAACACCGAUGAACAUGGUGAAAUUCAAGAGAAAAGACGCAAAAAAGGACUAAAAUGAUGCAAAGUAAAAGUUCAGGGACCAAAGUGUAAUUAUCCAAAAGAUGGUCCAAAGGACAAAUCAAGGAAGUGAAUGAGCUAAGUACCAAUUUGAUGAUAUUAUGAGAUGAUGGGAAUAAAAAAAACAAGCAAAAAGGACCAAAAUGAAUCAAACUGUAAAUUCGGGGACCAAGUUGAAAAUAAUCCAUAGAUGAGACGGGAAAUGAAAUGAAGAUUCAAGAGUGUUAGAGGCCAAUCGAAUGAGGAAAGGAGUCAAGAGGUGAAAUAUGAUCGAAAUAUUAUCAAAUAUCAACUUUCAGGCGAAAAAGCUAUGCUCGUGAUUUUUAGUCUCUACUUGAGAUCCAUUUUUGGCAUAGUAAAUAUCAGAAUUUGAGGAAGCCUAUUUCUAUCAAAAGUGUAGAUCUUUGAGUUUUCUUCCCAAUUCAUUUUGAAUCACUUCAAUCGAAGAUCAUAAGAAAACGUUAUGACCAAAAUAUUAAAAGCUGUCUGGCGAAAAGAAUCGCAUAAUUAUGCUGUCGCAUAGAAGCCUCCCGAGAAUUUUUUCUCAAAUUUUUUUACUCUAUGUGACAACAUAGAAAUGUACUAUGCGGUCGCAUAGAACAAUUUCGGGCCGAUUCUGUAGUUUCUUUAUACGACUGAAACUCUUUUGGUAACCUAAUUUUCACGCGAUAUAAAUACCAAAAGACGUCCAGAAAGAGGAGAAGGUAUUGAAGGGGGGAAUUUACACAAUUUUGGAGGAUUUGGAGAGGAAGAACAAGGCAAAAACAAGGCCAUCCGCUUCAAGAUUCAAGAUUUCACUUCAAGAAUUAAUUGGGUGAUGUUCUUCCUUGAUUUUAAUUAUUGUUUUUCUUUAUUUCCCAUUAUGUUAGGCUAGAUUUUCAUGUGUGCUAGGAUUUGCGAUGAACAUUAUAUUAUGAACCCUUAAUCUUGAAUUUUAUUAAUUUGACGUUAAAACAUGUUUUUAAUUAUUGAAUGAUUGGGAUGGAUUUUAUUUUCUCUACAAUUAUGUGCGCAAUAGUUGUAUGAGCUUUGUGGCUUGUUUUAGCCUCGAGAGAUGGAAAAUAAGUUAGACAUUAUGUUACUUGUCGUAAAGUUCGAUUGGGGAUAGAAAUAUACCGCUAUGCUUUACGUGAUCUUUAAGUAUUCAUAAAUUUUUAAUGCAUUUUUAUAUGUUCGCAUCUAUCAUAGAAAUAUAGUCGGAUCGCAUGUGAAAAAAUGUUUAAUUCUAUUCGAGAGAGAUUGUUAAACAAAUUAGGAAUAUUGAUCUUCAUAAUUGAAUCGUGUUAUCAAUUUUAUAAAAUUCGGAUUAAAGGGGAUUGAUAUAAGGGGAUUUGGGAUCCUAGUACGCAUUUCGUUAUCACAUUUUUAUAAAACUUGCAUUUAGUUAUAAUCACGCAUUUAAUCUAGUUAAUUUAGGCUUCAUAUUUAUAAGUAUGUUAUUAAAUCAUAAUUUAGUUGUGAAAAUAUCAAGAAUUUCUAUUAUUUCAGUUAAGGCGACGAUAGGUAAAAUUGAACUAAUCAAUCUCUGUGGGACGAUAGUCGGACUCAUUUAAUCCACUUUACUGCUUGUUAACGAACCUUAUACUUACGGUGGGUUUUGAAUCGAAACAAAUAAUUUCGUGAACAAGUUUUUGGCGCUGUUGCCGAGAAUUGAGUUUAGUUUAAUUUUAUUUAUCGAGGCGCUAAUUCGAACUUCAAUUUUAAUUUUUCUAGUAUAAUUUUGUUUUUAUUUCUAUUUUAGGUUAUUAUCCUUUAUUUGUGUUUUAGUUAUUUAAUUUGUUUGAAUCUCAGUGCUCGUACUGGUUUUGUUUCUCAGAUUUGCAUGCCACGAUCGACUAGAGGAGAAUUGAUUCCAGCUGAUCCU
Molecule: long non-coding RNA, 9379 nt
Filed under: Olea europaea (common olive)
Lineage: Eukaryota; Viridiplantae; Streptophyta; Magnoliopsida; Lamiales; Oleaceae
Description: long non-coding RNA (OEUR_LNC011762)
Source: RNAcentral